GACGAACGCUGGCGGCGUGCUUAACACAUGCAAGUCGAACGGAAAGGCCCUGCUUUUGUGGGGUGCUCGAGUGGCGAACGGGUGAGUAACACGUGAGUAACCUGCCCUUGACUUUGGGAUAACUUCAGGAAACUGGGGCUAAUACCGGAUAGGAGCUCCUGCUGCAUGGUGGGGGUUGGAAAGUUUCGGCGGUUGGGGAUGGACUCGCGGCUUAUCAGCUUGUUGGUGGGGUAGUGGCUUACCAAGGCUUUGACGGGUAGCCGGCCUGAGAGGGUGACCGGCCACAUUGGGAAUGAGAUACGGCCCAGACGCCUACGGGAGGCAGCAGUGGGGAAUAUUGCACAAUGGGCGGAAGCCUGAUGCAGCAACGCCGCGUGCGGGAUGACGGCCUUCGGGUUGUAAACCGCUUUCGCCUGUGACGAAGCGUGAGUGACGGUAAUGGGUAAAGAAGCACCGGCUAACUACGUG
Molecule: ribosomal RNA, 468 nt
Filed under: uncultured bacterium
Lineage: Bacteria
Description: partial 16S ribosomal RNA
Rfam family: Bacterial small subunit ribosomal RNA
Source: RNAcentral